This 550-nucleotide long non-coding RNA is filed under the name Anser brachyrhynchus (Pink-footed goose). RNAcentral describes it as "lncRNA (ENSABRG00000018176.1)". Lineage: Eukaryota; Metazoa; Chordata; Aves; Anseriformes; Anatidae. The record is from RNAcentral.
AUGAGUAACAGAUGUUUUGAAAGAGCUGGAAGAGAUCAAGGGAGCCCUUAUCUGCAUAUGAUGUUCACAAAGGGCCUGCUGGAACAUCCAAGUCCAGUCUGCACUUGUGAAGCACCUGCUCUGCAGACUGUCAGGUGCAUUACAGCUUGUAUGGCUCUAUGGUUCUUCUGUAGACAAUUGCCAUCUGCGCUUAGAGGCAUUAUUAUCUUUACAACAGAAGCCAAGGUAAACCUACUUGAUGGAAGACUUGCUGGCAGAUCUAAUAUUGCAGUUAUUUCAGAAGUGAGACUGAUUACUGCUGGUUAAAAAUUCUGGGGCUGAAAGAUCUGGACUGAAAUUCCGUAUCCAUGAAAUCAGUAAGGCCAUCAGCAGCAGCACCAGUUUGCCUCGUGCUGCUCUGCUAAUACACCUUAAUCUGUCCUGGGGGAACUCAGCUAGUCAUGGCAUUUCCUCUGCGGCUGUCAGCAGGUAUUUCAGUUGCUGCCACCACUCUCCUGCUUCUCCUAUUGGACACCUGUCUUGCUACAAAUAAAUUGGUAAAAAGACAGCA